RNA transcript from Vitis riparia (riverbank grape), 1431 nucleotides. It is a transcript of the gene named rhomboid-like protein 11, chloroplastic, with no coding region annotated. Lineage: Eukaryota; Viridiplantae; Streptophyta; Magnoliopsida; Vitales; Vitaceae. The record is from RefSeq and is a predicted model, not a curated record. The transcript is spliced from 3 exons.
AAUGGCAUAGAAGACAUUCAAUCGCCUCCUCGCAGGCAAAAAUGGGGCAGUUUCAGCAACUGCUGGCACAUAGACCAUGUACAAUCAAGCUCAUGCCCAUGCCCAUGCCCAUGCCCUCAGCCUCUCUCCUUCCCAUCAACGCCGCCUUCUCAAAGCUUCCCACCUCUUCUUCUCUCAGACUCACCCCGCCCACUCGCCUUCUUCCUAUCUCGGCCGCCCCAUCUCGUUUCGUCUGCAAGAUGAACGGUUCAGGUAUGCCCUGACUCUUCUUUGUCGAAAUCUUCGUUACCCAGAUAUUAUUUAGCUGAUGUUGUUCAUAAUUAGGGACCCAGAGUUGUUGUUGGAACUUUUCACGAACACUUGGUUUGAAAUUGACUAUGAUGGGCGUUAGUGAUUGGGUAUGUGAAGAUUUUGGAUGUUGGGAAAAUGAAGGAAAAGGAAGGAGAAUUUGGAACGUGUAGGUUGUGACUGAAGUACCCAAUUGUACUAAACACACAAAAAGGCCAUUGCUUGUUGAGGUCUUUUCUUUUAAGUCGUGUUUGGAACCCUGGAAUAGAGAAAUGGGAAUGGGAAAUUAAUUCCAUUCCUAUUCAUUAAUGUGUUUGGAUUGUUGUUCAGAAUGGGAAUAGGAAUAAAAAAUUCAUUUGUAGAGAACCAAAUCCCACUCUCACUAGGAUUUUGAUUCCUCGGUUCUACAUGGUAUUGUGAUUCACCCCCUUUCCAUCUUAUUUCGGUUCCCAUUCCCACAUGCCAAACGCACAAGGGUACUGGGAGGGCUGAAUUGAAUUCGUGACAGACCUAAGUUUCGAUAUAUAUGUGUAUUAUGUAUUAUCUAGUGUCCUCAUAUCGAAUUUUGCGUCUUUGGAGAAUCAUAUUGAUCAGUGUUUCAUGCUAUCUCCAGUUUAUUUUACAGUGUAUUUAACCACUUCUAUGUUCCACAUGUAUGGUAUCUCAACAUUUCUCCGCUUGCUGUGACUAGUUUGGCUGAAUUUCAAUCCUGGCCAGGGGCUGAAAAGGCACCAAGAUCGAUUAGGUAAAAUAAUAGGCAGCAAUUCCAAAACUUAGCUGAACAAUGAUGAGUUUGGAAAAUUGGUUUUUGGAAAUAAUUGAAAUUUGACAUCGCAGCUGGAACUUGGGAAGUCAGGCGGAAAAUGGAAACCACAGAGGCAAGUGAAUGGAAUAUUCUGGAUCAUUCUUCUUAAUCUUGGAAUAUUUGUGGCAGAUCAUUUAUUUCAGGUUCGGGCCAUCAAAACCCUAUACUUGUAUCACAAUUGGCCUGCUUGGUACCAGUUUGUGACGGCAACAUUCUGUCAUGCUAAUUGGUGAGACCCUAUACUGUUCAAGGAUACAUGUACUUGGAUAUCACAUAUUACUUAUGUGAUAUGUGUAUAGAGUAAGGAUAAAAAUAUAAGUAAUCUAUAUUGGUAUUUC